Schistosoma mansoni is the source of this 45-nucleotide non-coding RNA. The record is from Rfam. NCBI's taxonomy places the organism in Eukaryota, Metazoa, Platyhelminthes, Trematoda, Strigeidida, Schistosomatidae.
AUUCAGCUGACGAGUCAAAAAUAGGACAAAACGAGCGUUCUGGAU